This is a long non-coding RNA of Galeopterus variegatus (Sunda flying lemur), 93 nucleotides long. RefSeq lists it as uncharacterized. The record is from RefSeq and is a predicted model, not a curated record. NCBI's taxonomy places the organism in Eukaryota, Metazoa, Chordata, Mammalia, Dermoptera, Cynocephalidae. The transcript has 2 exons.
GCAGGUGUUUGAGAUGAAGGUCAAAGAAAAAGUUCAAAAACUGAAGGACUCUGAAGCAGAGCUCCAGCGGCGCCAUGAGCAAAUGAAAAAGAA